Non-coding RNA from Podarcis lilfordi (Lilford's wall lizard), 153 nucleotides. NCBI's taxonomy places the organism in Eukaryota, Metazoa, Chordata, Lepidosauria, Squamata, Lacertidae. The record is from the annotation of a GenBank genome assembly.
GUGUGGCUUUGUGAUUAUGUCUGAACUCAGGCUUUCGGUUUCUCCCCGAACAAGCCACAAGCAAUAAUUAAGGUUUAUUCCUGACUUACUGCUCACUGUUCAUUUAGAGAGAGAAACUGAAAGCCUGGAUUCAGACAUCACAUAUUUCUUUUC